RNAcentral lists this ribosomal RNA (862 nucleotides) under uncultured bacterium. Its description in RNAcentral is "bacterial SSU rRNA". It matches the Rfam family "Bacterial small subunit ribosomal RNA", at positions 35 to 894 of the family's 1533-position model. The record is from RNAcentral.
GCUAGCGGCAGGCUUAACACAUGCAAGUCGAACGGUAACAUGAGUGCUUGCACUUGAUGACGAGUGGCGCACGGGUGCGUAACGCGUAUGCAACCUACCUUUAACUGGAGAAUAGCCUUUAGAAAUGAAGAAUAAUACUCCAUAAUAUUAUCUUACGGCAUCGUAAGAUUCUUAAAGCUUCGGCGGUUARAGAUGGGCAUGCGUUCUAUUAGUUAGUUGGUGAGGUAAUGGCUCACCAAGACUCCGAUAGAUAGGGGGCCUGAGAGGGUUAUCCCCCACACUGGUACUGAGACACGGACCAGACUCCUACGGGAGGCAGCAGUGAGGAAUAUUGCACAAUGGACGAAAGUCUGAUGCAGCCAUGCCGCGUGCAGGAUGAAUGCCCUAUGGGUUGUAAACUGCUUUUAUAUAGGAAGAAACUUUUCUACGUGUAGAGAACUGACGGUACUAUAAGAAUAAGGACCGGCUAACUCCGUGCCAGCAGCCGCGGUAAUACGGAGGGUCCAAGCGUUAUCCGGAUUCAUUGGGUUUAAAGGGUCCGCAGGCGGGAAAAUAAGUCAGUGGUGAAAUCCUGCAGCUCAACUGCAGAACUGCCAUUGAAACUGUUUUUCUUGAAUAUAGAUGAAGUGGGCGGAAUAUAUCAUGUAGCGGUGAAAUGCAUAGAUAUGAUAUAGAACACCGAUUGCGAAGGCAGCUCACUAAACUAUUAUUGACGCUCAGGGGACGAAAGCGUGGGGAGCGAACAGGAUUAGAUACCCUGGUAGUCCACGCCGUAAACGAUGAUUACUCGGUGCUAGCGAUAUAACGUUAGUGCCCAAGCGAAAGUGAUAAGUAAUCCACCUGGGGAGUACGGUCGCAAGAU